GUGUAAUCACAAUAAACACCCUUGGUCUGUUUUCACUUAAAAUUGCCAUGUCAGAUCCGAAAAUGCUACGUCAUACCUGAAAUUGCCACAUCAUCAUCGACAGUUAUUAUCUCAUUAAUUAUCAAAAAGGAAAGUGAACAGUUUCUUUCUCGUCACUGUUUAGAAUUGGAAAAAAAAAAAAAAAUUCUCUCUCGCGUUCGAAAGAGAAGAAACUCGCCGCCGACAAACACAGUACUCGCCGCCGACGAACACAGUACUCGCCGCCGACGAACACAAUACUCGCUGCCGACGAACCAUUACGCUUUCUCUCUUUCGCUCUAAAAACUCGCCUUGAGUCGCUGUGAAGAGAAGAAGUCGCCGUGAGUGAGUCGUC
This 373-nucleotide long non-coding RNA is filed under the name Capsella rubella. Its description in RNAcentral is "long non-coding RNA (CRUB_LNC002636)". Lineage: Eukaryota; Viridiplantae; Streptophyta; Magnoliopsida; Brassicales; Brassicaceae. The record is from RNAcentral.